Molecule: ribosomal RNA, 2911 nt
Filed under: Enterococcus faecium
Lineage: Bacteria; Bacillati; Bacillota; Bacilli; Lactobacillales; Enterococcaceae
Description: 23S ribosomal RNA
Rfam family: Bacterial large subunit ribosomal RNA
Source: RNAcentral
UUAAGUGAAUAAGGGCGCACGGUGGAUGCCUUGGCACUAGGAGCCGAUGAAGGACGGGACUAACACCGAUAUGCUUUGGGGAGCUGUACGUAAGCUAUGAUCCAGAGAUUUCCGAAUGGGGGAACCCAACAUCUUUAAUAGGAUGUUACGAUUGUGUGAAUACAUAGCACAUUCGAGGUAGACGCAGAGAACUGAAACAUCUAAGUACCUGCAGGAAGAGAAAGAAAAUUCGAUUCCCUGAGUAGCGGCGAGCGAAACGGGAAAAGCCCAAACCAGCAAGCUUGCUUGUUGGGGUUGUAGGACUCCAAUAUGGUAGUUCUUUCAGAUAGUCGAAUGACUUGGAAAAGUCAGUCAAAGAGGGUAAAAACCCCGUAGACGAAAUGUGGAAGACACCUAGGAGGAUCCUGAGUACGGCGGAACACGAGAAAUUCCGUCGGAAUCCGGGAGGACCAUCUCCCAAGGCUAAAUACUCCCUAGUGACCGAUAGUGAACCAGUACCGUGAGGGAAAGGUGAAAAGCACCCCGGAAGGGGAGUGAAAUAGAACCUGAAACCGUGUGCCUACAACAAGUCAAAGCCCGUUAAUGGGUGAUGGCGUGCCUUUUGUAGAAUGAACCGGCGAGUUACGAUUGCAUGCGAGGUUAAGUUGAAGAGACGGAGCCGCAGCGAAAGCGAGUCUGAAUAGGGCGUUUGAGUAUGUAGUCGUAGACCCGAAACCAUGUGAUCUACCCAUGUCCAGGUUGAAGGUGCGGUAAAACGCACUGGAGGACCGAACCCACGUACGUUGAAAAGUGCGGGGAUGAGGUGUGGGUAGCGGAGAAAUUCCAAACGAACUUGGAGAUAGCUGGUUCUCUCCGAAAUAGCUUUAGGGCUAGCCUCGGAAUUGAGAAUGAUGGAGGUAGAGCACUGUUUGGACUAGGGGCCCAUCUCGGGUUACCGAAUUCAGAUAAACUCCGAAUGCCAUUCAUUCAUAUCCGGGAGUCAGACUGUGAGUGAUAAGAUCCAUAGUCGAAAGGGAAACAGCCCAGACCACCAGCUAAGGUCCCAAAAUAUAUGUUAAGUGGAAAAGGAUGUGGGGUUGCACAGACAACUAGGAUGUUGGCUUAGAAGCAGCCACCAUUUAAAGAGUGCGUAAUAGCUCACUAGUCGAGUGACCCUGCGCCGAAAAUGUACCGGGGCUAAACAUAUUACCGAAGCUGUGGAGUACACCUUUAGGUGUAUUGGUAGGAGAGCGUUCUAAGGGCGUUGAAGGCAGAUCGUGAGGACUGCUGGAGCGCUUAGAAGUGAGAAUGCCGGUAUGAGUAGCGAAAGACAGGUGAGAAUCCUGUCCACCGAAUGACUAAGGUUUCCUGGAGAAGGCUCGUCCGCCCAGGGUUAGUCGGGACCUAAGCCGAGGCCGACAGGCGUAGGCGAUGGAUAACAGGUUGAUAUUCCUGUACCCGUUGUUUUUGUUUGAGCAAUGGAGGGACGCAGGAGGCUAAGGAAUGCAGACGAUCGGAAAUGUCUGUCCAAGCAGUAAGUCUGAAGAGGAGUCAAAUGCUUCUUUUCUUAAGGACAAGCUGUGAUGGGGAGGGAAAUAAUAGUACCGAAGUUCCUGAUGUCACACUGCCGAGAAAAGCUUCUAGUGAGAAAACAGCGGCCCGUACCGCAAACCGACACAGGUAGUCGAGGAGAGAAUCCUAAGGUGAGCGAGAGAACUCUCGUUAAGGAACUCGGCAAAAUGACCCCGUAACUUCGGGAGAAGGGGUGCUGAUCAUACGAUCAGCCGCAGUGAAUAGGCCCAAGCGACUGUUUAUCAAAAACACAGGUCUCUGCAAAAUCGUAAGAUGAAGUAUAGGGGCUGACGCCUGCCCGGUGCUGGAAGGUUAAGAGGAGUGCUUAGCGCAAGCGAAGGUACGAAUUGAAGCCCCAGUAAACGGCGGCCGUAACUAUAACGGUCCUAAGGUAGCGAAAUUCCUUGUCGGGUAAGUUCCGACCCGCACGAAAGGCGUAACGAUUUGGGCACUGUCUCAACGAGAGACUCGGUGAAAUUUUAGUACCUGUGAAGAUGCAGGUUACCCGCGACAGGACGGAAAGACCCCAUGGAGCUUUACUGUAGUUUGAUAUUGAGUGUCUGUACCGCAUGUACAGGAUAGGUAGGAGCCGUAGAAAUCGGAACGCUAGUUUCGAUGGAGGCGCUGGUGGGAUACUACCCCUGCGUUAUGGCCACUCUAACCCGCACCACUAAUCGUGGUGGGAGACAGUGUCAGAUGGGCAGUUUGACUGGGGCGGUCGCCUCCUAAAAGGUAACGGAGGCGCCCAAAGGUUCCCUCAGAAUGGUUGGAAAUCAUUCGAAGAGUGUAAAGGCAGAAGGGAGCUUGACUGCGAGACCAACAAGUCGAGCAGGGACGAAAGUCGGGCUUAGUGAUCCGGUGGUUCCGCAUGGAAGGGCCAUCGCUCAACGGAUAAAAGCUACCCUGGGGAUAACAGGCUUAUCUCCCCCAAGAGUCCACAUCGACGGGGAGGUUUGGCACCUCGAUGUCGGCUCGUCGCAUCCUGGGGCUGUAGUCGGUCCCAAGGGUUGGGCUGUUCGCCCAUUAAAGCGGCACGCGAGCUGGGUUCAGAACGUCGUGAGACAGUUCGGUCCCUAUCCGUCGCGGGCGUUGGAAAUUUGAGAGGAGCUGUCCUUAGUACGAGAGGACCGGGAUGGACUUACCGCUGGUGUACCAGUUGUUCUGCCAAGGGCAUUGCUGGGUAGCUAUGUAGGGAAGGGAUAAACGCUGAAAGCAUCUAAGUGUGAAGCCCACCUCAAGAUGAGAUUUCCCAUUUCUUUAAGAAAGUAAGAUCCCUGAGAGAUGAUCAGGUAGAUAGGUCAGGAGUGGAAGUACAGUGAUGUAUGGAGCGGACUGAUACUAAUCGAUCGAGGACUUAACC